GACGAACGCUGGCGGCGUGCUUAACACAUGCAAGUCGAACGGUGAAAGCGGAGCUUGCUCCGCUGGAUCAGUGGCGAACGGGUGAGUAACACGUGGGCAACCUGCCCCUCACUUCGGGAUAACUCCGGGAAACCGGGGCUAAUACCGGAUAUGACCUCCUUGGGCAUCCUUGGAGGUGGAAGGUGUUUAGGUGAGGGAUGGCCCGAGGCCUGUCAGCUUGUUGGUGAGGUAGUGGCUCACCAAGGCGACGACGGGUAGCCGGCCUGAGAGGGCGACCGGCCACACUGGGCAUGAGACACGGCCCAGACUCGUACGGGAGUCAGCAGUGGGGAAUAUUGCGCAAGGGACGAAAGCCUGACGAAGCAACGCCGCGUGCGGGAUGACGGCGUUCGGGUUGUAACCCGCUUUCAGCAGGGAAGAAGCCGCAAGGUGACGGUACCUGCAGAAGAAGCACCGGCUAACUACGUGCCAGCAGCCGCCGCAG
Molecule: ribosomal RNA, 484 nt
Filed under: uncultured bacterium
Lineage: Bacteria
Description: partial 16S ribosomal RNA
Rfam family: Bacterial small subunit ribosomal RNA
Source: RNAcentral